RNAcentral lists this ribosomal RNA (1234 nucleotides) under metagenome. Its description in RNAcentral is "bacterial LSU rRNA". It matches the Rfam family "Bacterial large subunit ribosomal RNA", at positions 1564 to 2808 of the family's 2925-position model. The record is from RNAcentral.
UGAAUACGAGAUGCUACGGCAUCGAAGCAGUCUAUGUCAUACUUCCGAGAAAAGCUUGCACUGUCAUAAACAAAUAAUGCCUGUACCAUAACCGACACAGGUGGGUAGGUAGAGUAUACUAAGGGGCGCGAGAUAACUCUCUCUAAGGAACUCGGCAAAAUGACUCCGUAACUUCGGGAGAAGGAGUGCCUUAUUUUAUAAGGUUGCAAUAACAAGAUCCAAGCAACUGUUUACCAAAAACACAGGUCUCCGCUAAGUCGUAAGACGAUGUAUGGGGGCUGACGCCUGCCCAGUGCCAGAAGGUUAAAGAAGUUGGUUAGCAUUAGCGAAGCUGAUAACUGAAGCCCUGGUGAACGGCGGCCGUAACAAUAACGGUCCUAAGGUAGCGAAAUUCCUUGUCGGGUAAGUUCCGACCCGCACGAAAGGCGUAAUGAUUUGGAUACUGUCUCGGAGAGGGGCUCGGUGAAAUAGACUUGUCUGUGAAGAUGCGGACUACCUGCACCAGGACAGAAAGACCCUAUGAAGCUUUACUGUAACUUGAGAUUGAAAUUGGACUUUAUUUGCGCAGUAUAGGUGGGAGACGUUGGAAAUAUUCUUGCGGGAAUAUUGGAGUCAUCAGUGAGAUACCACUCUUAUAAUGUUAGAUUUCUAACUUUGUAUCAUUAUCUGGUCAAAGAACAGUCUCAGGCGGGCAGUUUGACUGGGGCGGCCGCCUCCCAAACGGUAACGGAGGCGCACAAAGGUUUCCUCUGAACUGUAGAAAUCGUAUCUAGAGUGUAAAGGCAUAAGGAAGCUUGACUGUGAGACCUACAAGUCGAGCAGGGACGAAAGUCGGUCUUAGUGAUCUGACGGUGCUGAGUGGAAAGGCCGUCACUCAACGGAUAAAAGUUACUCUAGGAUAACAGGCUGAUCUCCCCCAAGAGUUCACAUCGACGGGGAGGUUUGGCACCUCGAUGUCGGCUCAUCGCAUCCUGGGGCGGUAGUACGUCCCAAGGGUUGGGCUGUUCGCCCAUGAAAGCGGUACGCGAGCUGGGUUCAGAACGUCGUGAGACAGUUCGGUCCAUAUCCGGUGUAGGCGUUAGAAUAUUGAGAGGAGCCUUCUUUAGUACGAGAGGACCGAGAAGGACAUACCUCUGGUGUACCAGUUAUCGUGCCAACGGUAAACGCUGGGUAGCUAUGUAUGGAGAGGAUAACCGCUGAAAGCAUCUAAGUGGGAAGCCCACCUCAAGAUAAG